UGGCUAAGCAGGAGAGUAAUGAUACUUUCUAAUAUAGAUUAUAAUACUCGAACUGUUUAAAAACAGUGUGUAGGAUACAGGAAACUUGUAUUUUGGAUAAACCAUUGUUUUAGCACAAUGCUUACCUCACAGUAGGAAUUGGAAACAACUUAAUUUACUUGGAAACCACAUUCUGAUAAAGCAAGGCACCUGAACUUGCUGUGCUAUACUCUCAACCAGAAGAUUAAAGAGUCAGCCAACAUGGACAGAGAUAGAUAGCGGAACUGACAGGAACAGAAAACCAAAUGCCGCAUGUUCUAGCUUAUAAGUGGGAGCUAAACAUUGAGUACACAGGGACACAAAGAAGAAAAUGACAGACACUGAGGCCUACUUGAUAGUGGACAGUGGGAAGGAGGAAUACCCGGGAGAAGUUUCCUUUCCCUAAAUAUACCUGCAAUUUUCAAGUCCUUUUAAUUCACGCCUUUAAAUGAAAGGGUUGAGUAUACAAGAAUAUCAAUAAGUUCCAAUUGAAGAGCGGAUUCUUUUGCAAUUCAGGCAUGUGCCGGCGAUAACGGGCGAGUUGGCAUGAAGAGAGGCAGAGAUGGAUUAAUUAUGCAGAGAACAUGGAAAUUCUGCUUAUCAUCGGCUAGCAAAGGAGCCCGGCUCACAUAAUCAGCAAACGAAGGGAGAGGAAAAAAUAACAAUGCAAUGGCACCUUCCAGCCCAUCAUCAGGAUUUUUUCUACCCCCUUGUAAUUAAAAAAUAACAUACACUUAUAGCCCUAUCUCCUGUGCAGGCAAGGAGUGGAUGUCCACAAAAUAAUUGCACUGGGAUAUUAGAGCUGGCGACACGGGCUGUCCAUUCCGGCUUGCUCUCCUGCUCACCCUCUCUUUCUCUUUUGGCCUCUCAGGCACUUUGCUUCUGAACCCAGUCCAAAUCAGAGAGACGUCUCAGGUGACAUUCAAGCUCGGUUUCCAAAAAUCCCAAAUUGGUACCUUAUCAUGAUCCAAGCAAACAUACAUACAUAUAUGAUAAAUAUUUGGAGGGCUGACUCUAGAGGAGGCUUUGGAACUGAUCACCUGUGGACUAUCUGGUCAGUUUCAUUUUUUAUGAAACAUGUCCAAAUAGCCUUCAUUUUGCAAAGUGGCUGGAUUAAAAUGGUGGCUGUGCAACGGCUGUGCUAUCUUCUCAAAUCAUUUAACUUACCUACAAGUUUUUGUUUCUAUUCCCUUUGCCAACUCAUUUUAUAAAUGUUAAGUUAAUGAUUGCAAUGUCUGCACCUCAAAAUCAGAAUUCGCAAUUCUGUAUUGUCAUUGUAAAAUCUGACAGCUCAAUGCCUUGUAUUUCUCUAAAUGCCAAAAGACUACAAUAAACCUAGUUUAUUGCUUUAAAGAAAA
Molecule: long non-coding RNA, 1376 nt
Filed under: Homo sapiens (human)
Lineage: Eukaryota; Metazoa; Chordata; Mammalia; Primates; Hominidae
Description: HSALNT0348982
Source: RNAcentral